AGUAACGUCUAAAUUAACUUUUUUUUGCUGAUGAACUGUAUAAAUGAGUGUCUAAUAGUGUUUUAAAUGUGUGUAUUCAUUAUUUUAGCAUUUUGGUGCAUUUUCUUAAAAAAUUAAAAAUUCUGCCUAAAUACCACAGUAUAGCUCCACCUUCAGCUUAAAACAUAGAAUUUGACUCAUUUUGAAUAAAUUUUAGCCAAUGGCUAAAGAGUAAGAUACUACGUAAUCCAGUAGAGUACUACGUAGCAGCUCUGUGUCAACGUUAUAAAAGCAUCGGGAGUCUCGGCCACGCCUUGUGGCGAGUUGGGAGUUGGAUUUGCAUGAGAGUGUAGGAGGCUAGCCGUAGUUCAGCAUUAGCAUAUAGCAUUAGCAUAUCCUAGUCUUUAGCAUAGCUUUUAGUGUUAUACAUACUUAUUUAGUGUUAGCUUGGCUGUUGGAUAUUGUAGUUUAGUUACUGUUUGGCUGUUAGUGUAAUUAGGAAAGUAGUUCGGGUUUAGUGCUCCAUAUCGUGUUAGCAUGGUGAGAUGGUGUAGUGUAGUAUGGUUGCGGAGCUCUGUCGGGUUGCACUCCUUUCCGCUGGACUUAGAAAUUAGGCGCCAGUGGUUGCGUGUCUGGAAAAGAUUCAGCUCCCGCCUGGUGCUGUAGUUUGCAACCAGCAUUUUACCCGCGAUUCUGCACGUCUCCGUUCCAAGAGGGAGGCUGUGCCCACCGUGGCUCUUCCGCGAUUUAGAUGCAGCCCACCGACUCUGCUCCCCCACCAUGACGGGCUACAGUCUGAGGCUAAAUCUACCCAAGACACUGGCUGUCAGACUGAUUUAGUAAUCUGCAAGAAUGCACUUGUCCAGGCUGACGUGGUGUUACCCGUAGCAAAGAGCUCACAGCCUCAGUGUCUUGUGACACAGGGACCAUGACAGAAAUUCAUCUUCCAGAAGGUCCCAGAGCAUCCACACCUCCUGAAAAGACCACGGUGUGAGGUGUCUGCUGUUGAUUCCAGCUUCCACCUCAGUGACAGUGCAAGCUCAGUGAACUGUUCAAGGAGGCUACUGAUUCUGGCCCUGUGACACUUGGUGGUCACCACCAGGUGGUGACGUGUGAGCUGAUUCACCUGGACACUCAGCAAAAUAUGGACUCUACACCAUGAGGCAGGCACACGUUAAUAACUCUAAGAGCACAUAAGCCUGGCUGAUCACCUGAUAACUCCUGUCAUCUGGUUAUGACAGCAUGAGGAUGUCCUCACACACCUGUAACCUAUCAGCUCAUCUGGCAGAAUAGAGAGAGAAGAGACAACACCACAUCUCCUGUUCCUGGAAAGCCUUCAGCCAUCCUUUGAUGACUGAGAACCUCCAUCAGCUCUGUCUCCUGUCUGCCUACAAUUAUUAUAAUAAAUAUUGUGUUUGACAAGUU
Non-coding RNA from Nothobranchius furzeri (turquoise killifish), 1404 nucleotides. The record is from RefSeq and is a predicted model, not a curated record. NCBI's taxonomy places the organism in Eukaryota, Metazoa, Chordata, Actinopteri, Cyprinodontiformes, Nothobranchiidae.